RNAcentral lists this ribosomal RNA (253 nucleotides) under uncultured bacterium. Its description in RNAcentral is "partial 16S ribosomal RNA". It matches the Rfam family "Bacterial small subunit ribosomal RNA", at positions 524 to 776 of the family's 1533-position model. The record is from RNAcentral.
UACGUAGGGUGCAAGCGUUAUCCGGAAUUAUUGGGCGUAAAGAGCUCGUAGGCGGUUUGGCGCGUCUGCUGUGAAAACUGGAGGCUCAACCUCCAGCCUGCAGUGGGUACGGGCAGACUAGAGUGCGGUAGGGGAGAUUGGAAUUCCUGGUGUAGCGGUGGAAUGCGCAGAUAUCAGGAGGAACACCAAUGGCGAAGGCAGAUCUCUGGGCCGUAACUGACGCUGAGGAGCGAAAGCAUGGGGAGCGAACAGG